Molecule: long non-coding RNA, 762 nt
Filed under: Anser brachyrhynchus (Pink-footed goose)
Lineage: Eukaryota; Metazoa; Chordata; Aves; Anseriformes; Anatidae
Description: lncRNA (ENSABRG00000003153.1)
Source: RNAcentral
GGCAAAUUUAAACAUUCUCUUAUUUGCUGGUCUUAUUUGACUAACAAACAUGAAGCUUGAUCAACAGUUCGCAGUAUGCAGUGGAGAAAAGCCUCAUCUUACCUCAUCUGCCACAAUCUCACUUCCAAGAAGUGAUGACCGCAGGAAGAGGCGCUGCCUUUUUACCUGCCUGUCGUCAUUGUGAGCACACAAUCAGUCCACAGGGUCCAGGUUACCGUCUCCAUCUGUUGACAUACGGAAACCAAGGCAACCAAGCCAGCCUCCUGGCUUUCCUUACCCCAAAAUUCCGAGCAGAGACUCCCCGGGACAGAAUCUGUUGUUGGUGCACAACCUCUCCCAGAAAGAACUUGGUGUCCUUAGGGACAAGUUCUUGGGCAGAUCAUUGCAGUAGAGUGAAGUCGUGUAUACUGAGAAAUACGAGACGCUUUCUGCAGAAACAAAGGAUGUACAUGCAAUGAUGCACUCAGACAAACUCUCAGAAAGCUGAGAUGAAUCUAGGAAUAUCAAGAUUUGUAAGUAUGUUUCCUGUUUUGCUGCAGUGUUUAAGGACAAAAUGACAGUUUACAAGGCAAUGUUUCCCCAGAAAAAUAUUGCCUUUUCUGGGGGGAAAAAAAGUGCCUCACAGCUCUUGCUGCUCCCUGGUAAAUUGAACGCAGCCAGGUGCAGGCUGAAGCACUUGCAGUGGUCCUGAUGACUGCUGAAUCUGAUCUUUUGCUGGGAUUUAUGAAAAGUCUCUCCCAGCUGUAAUUUCUUGACUUGGAC